GCGUCGAGCGGCGGACGGGUGAGUAAUGCCUAGGAAAUUGCCCUGAUGUGGGGGAUAACCAUUGGAAACGAUGGCUAAUACCGCAUAACGCCUACGGGCCAAAGAGGGGGACCUUCGGGCCUCUCGCGUCAGGAUAUGCCUAGGUGGGAUUAGCUAGUUGGUGAGGUAAGGGCUCACCAAGGCGACGAUCCCUAGCUGGUCUGAGAGGAUGAUCAGCCACACUGGAACUGAGACACGGUCCAGACUCCUACGGGAGGCAGCAGUGGGGAAUAUUGCACAAUGGGCGCAAGCCUGAUGCAGCCAUGCCGCGUGUGUGAAGAAGGCCUUCGGGUUGUAAAGCACUUUCAGUCGUGAGGAAGGCAGUGUAGUUAAUAGCGGCAUUGUUUGACGUUAGCGACAGAAGAAGCACCGGCUAACUCCGUGCCAGCAGCCGCGGUAAUACGGAGGGUGCGAGCGUUAAUCGGAAUUACUGGGCGUAAAGCGCAUGCAGGUGGUUUGUUAAGUCAGAUGUGAAAGCCCGGGGCUCAACCUCGGAAUAGCAUUUGAAACUGGCAGACUAGAGUACUGUAGAGGGGGGUAGAAUUUCAGGUGUAGCGGUGAAAUGCGUAGAGAUCUGAAGGAAUACCGGUGGCGAAGGCGGCCCCCUGGACAGAUACUGACACUCAGAUGCGAAAGCGUGGGGAGCAAACAGGAUUAGAUACCCUGGUAGUCCACGCCGUAAACGAUGUCUACUUGGAGGUUGUGGCCUUGAGCCGUGGCUUUCGGAGCUAACGCGUUAAGUAGACCGCCUGGGGAGUACGGUCGCAAGAUUAAAACUCAAAUGAAUUGACGGGGGCCCGCACAAGCGGUGGAGCAUGUGGUUUAAUUCGAUGCAACGCGAAGAACCUUACCUACUCUUGACAUCCAGAGAACUUUUCAGAGAUGGAUUGGUGCCUUCGGGAACUCUGAGACAGGUGCUGCAUGGCUGUCGUCAGCUCGUGUUGUGAAAUGUUGGGUUAAGUCCCGCAACGAGCGCAACCCUUAUCCUUGUUUGCCAGCGAGUAAUGUCGGGAACUCCAGGGAGACUGCCGGUGAUAAACCGGAGGAAGGUGGGGACGACGUCAAGUCAUCAUGGCCCUUACGAGUAGGGCUACACACGUGCUACAAUGGCGCAUACAGAGGGCAGCCAACUUGCGAAAGUGAGCGAAUCCCAAAAAGUGCGUCGUAGUCCGGAUUGGAGUCUGCAACUCGACUCCAUGAAGUCGGAAUCGCUAGUAAUCGUGGAUCAGAAUGCCACGGUGAAUACGUUCCCGGGCCUU
This 1298-nucleotide ribosomal RNA is filed under the name Vibrio azureus. Its description in RNAcentral is "16S ribosomal RNA". It matches the Rfam family "Bacterial small subunit ribosomal RNA", at positions 88 to 1382 of the family's 1533-position model. The record is from RNAcentral. Lineage: Bacteria; Pseudomonadati; Pseudomonadota; Gammaproteobacteria; Vibrionales; Vibrionaceae.